This 87-nucleotide transfer RNA is filed under the name Cordylochernes scorpioides. RNAcentral describes it as "tRNA-Glu". The record is from RNAcentral. Lineage: Eukaryota; Metazoa; Arthropoda; Arachnida; Pseudoscorpiones; Chernetidae.
AAAAGUGCCCAAUGCGGGAAUCGAACCCGGGUCCUAGUGGUCGAAAACCAAAUGGUUUAACCAGCCUUCCACUGACCCCAACUUUUU